AAAGAUUAAGCCAUGCAUGUCUAAGUAUAAGCAACUAUACGGUGAAACUGCGAAUGGCUCAUUAAAUCAGUUAUCGUUUAUUUGAUAGUACCUUACACUUGGAUAACCGUGGUAAUUCUAGAGCUAAUACAUGCUAAAAACCCCAACUUCGGAAGGGGUGUAUUUAUUAGAUAAAAAACCAACGCCCUUCGGGGCUCCUUGGUGAUUCAUAAUAACUAAACGAAUCGCAUGGCCUUGCGCCGGCGAUGGUUCAUUCAAAUUUCUGCCCUAUCAACUUUCGAUGGUAGGAUAGUGGCCUACCAUGGUAU
RNAcentral lists this ribosomal RNA (308 nucleotides) under uncultured fungus. RNAcentral describes it as "SSU rRNA". It matches the Rfam family "Eukaryotic small subunit ribosomal RNA", at positions 39 to 352 of the family's 1831-position model. The record is from RNAcentral. Lineage: Eukaryota; Fungi.